CCCUUAGAUGUUCUGGGCCGCACGCGCGCUACACUGAUGCAUUCAACGAGUUUCUUCCUGGUCCGAGAGGAAUGGGUAACCUUUUGAAAGUGCAUCGUGAUAGGUAUAGACUAUUGCAAUUAUUGGUCUUCAACGAGGAAUUCCUAGUAGACGUAGUUCAUCAGACUGCAUCGAUUACGUCCCUGCCCUUUGUACACACCGCCCGUCGCUCCUACCGAUUGAAUGCUCAGGUGAGCCAUUCGGACUUUCAUCAUGCUGGUUUCCAGUUUUGAUGAAGGAAAGUCUUGCGAACCUUAUCAUUUAGAGGAAGGAGAAGUCGUAACA
Molecule: ribosomal RNA, 324 nt
Filed under: uncultured eukaryote
Lineage: Eukaryota
Description: partial 18S ribosomal RNA
Rfam family: Eukaryotic small subunit ribosomal RNA
Source: RNAcentral